Molecule: ribosomal RNA, 389 nt
Filed under: uncultured Glomus
Lineage: Eukaryota; Fungi; Glomeromycota; Glomeromycetes; Glomerales; Glomeraceae
Description: SSU rRNA
Rfam family: Eukaryotic small subunit ribosomal RNA
Source: RNAcentral
AGCAGCCGCGGUAAUUCCAGCUCCAAUAGCGUAUAUUAAAGUUGUUGCAGUUAAAAAGCUCGUAGUUGAAUUUCGGGGUUAGUAGGUUGGUCAUGCCUCUGGUAUGUACUAAUCUCACUGAUUCCUCCCUCUCGACGAACUGUAAUGUCAUUAAUUUGGUGUUGCAGGAAAUCAGGACUGUUACUUUGAAAAAAUUAGAGUGUUUAAAGCAGGCUUAGGCUUGAAUACAUUAGCAUGGAAUAAUGAAAUAGGACGUUUGAACCUAUUUUGUUGGUUUCUAGGAUCGACGUAAUGAUUAAUAGGGAUAGUUGGGGGCAUUAGUAUUCAAUUGUCAGAGGUGAAAUUCUUGGAUUUAUUGAAGACUAACUACUGCGAAAGCAUUUGCCAAG